Long non-coding RNA from Bacillus rossius redtenbacheri, 554 nucleotides. RefSeq lists it as uncharacterized. The transcript is spliced from 4 exons. The record is from RefSeq and is a predicted model, not a curated record. Lineage: Eukaryota; Metazoa; Arthropoda; Insecta; Phasmatodea; Bacillidae.
UUAUUUCUUUUGUCGUCGUUCAAUGCUCGUUCAACAUUUUGGAAUUUUCUAUGGUUUUAUCGUCGGAUUUUCUUGAAAAUAUGGAGGUACAGUUUCUUGGUGGUAUUGGUGGACAGGGCAUUUUUUCAUGUGUCAACGCAGUGCUCAGGAGAUUGAUGACAAAUUCUGCCGCAUCCCAAUACAGCUGGAGUGGGUUGAAAGGAAAGAAAACAUUUAUAAAUUUAAGGCUGUCGCAAGUUGUGCUACAUGUUGUACGGUUACAUGUGCCAGGGGCUACUGAAACUGAAGUGUCAGAGCAGAUACAAGCUUGGUUGAAGCAUGCCAAAACAAGACUUGUCAGAACAUCACAGAAGUUGCCAGUUUCUGACCAGUGUUGUAAAAAAGAAGCAUAAGAACUUAAGUGAACUACUUUGUAAUGAAUUUUACCAGGACAUGAAUUAUUGUGCCAAAUGAAUGUUUAAAAAUACCUUGCAUAUAAUAUUUUGAUACUCUACUUUGAAAACUAUAAAAUACUUUGUAGAAAUAUUGCAGAAUUAAACUUUUACUUACAUUUA